This 292-nucleotide ribosomal RNA is filed under the name uncultured bacterium. RNAcentral's name for it is "partial 16S ribosomal RNA". It matches the Rfam family "Bacterial small subunit ribosomal RNA", at positions 28 to 309 of the family's 1533-position model. The record is from RNAcentral.
GAUGAACGCUAGCGACAGGCUUAACACAUGCAAGUCGAACGGAGUUGCACUUAGUGCUUGCACCGAGUGGAACUUAGUGGCGGACGGGUGAGUAACGCGUGAGCAACCUGCCUUUCAGAGGGGGAUAACAACGGGAAACCGUUGCUAAUACCGCAUAAAACCGGAUGAUGGCAUCAUUGACCGGUCAAAGGAGCAAUCCGCUGAAAGAUGGGCUCGCGUCCCAUUAGGUAGUUGGUGGGGUAACGGCCUACCAAGCCGACGAUGGGUAGCCGGACUGAGAGGUUGAUCGGCC